This 229-nucleotide long non-coding RNA is filed under the name Gallus gallus (chicken). Lineage: Eukaryota; Metazoa; Chordata; Aves; Galliformes; Phasianidae. The record is from RNAcentral.
CUUUGAUUGGUUAUGUACAAUCAAAUUGUUCAUUUAAUAAGAUGAAAAAUAUAACUUAAAUUUCUGGAUACAUUAUGCCAUUUUGUGCCAUCUUUUCUGAGGCUUAUAAUAAAAUAACAGAAGGCUUUAAAAAAAAAAAAAUUUUCUGAACUGUUUGGUAAACUUCUCUUUUUAAUACUGCACACUGUUAAGCAGUUUUUAUUCUGUUGUGCACUUUCAUUUCAACUUC